UACGGAGGGUGCAAGCGUUAUCCGGAUUUACUGGGUUUAAAGGGAGCGUAGGUGGGUUGGUAAGUCAGUGGUGAAAUCUCCGAGCUUAACUUGGAAACUGCCAUUGAUACUAUCGAUCUUGAAUACUGUGGAGGUUAGCGGAAUAUGUCAUGUAGCGGUGAAAUGCAUAGAUAUGACAUAGAACACCAAUUGCGAAGGCAGCUGGCUACACAAGCAUUGACACUGAGGCUCGAAAGCGUGGGGAUCAAACAGG
Molecule: ribosomal RNA, 253 nt
Filed under: uncultured Niabella sp.
Lineage: Bacteria; Pseudomonadati; Bacteroidota; Chitinophagia; Chitinophagales; Chitinophagaceae
Description: partial 16S ribosomal RNA
Rfam family: Bacterial small subunit ribosomal RNA
Source: RNAcentral